This is a small nucleolar RNA of Sorex fumeus (smoky shrew), 102 nucleotides long. RefSeq annotates it as small nucleolar RNA U13. Lineage: Eukaryota; Metazoa; Chordata; Mammalia; Eulipotyphla; Soricidae. The transcript has a single exon. The record is from RefSeq and is a predicted model, not a curated record.
GUGCUACAGUGCUUAUAAGCAUGAUGUUAGGUGUUUGCACAUAUGUGCGACAUGUUCCUCCCUUAAAUCUUGUUAUACACUUGAUACAUUAACGACCUGACA